Molecule: ribosomal RNA, 253 nt
Filed under: uncultured bacterium
Lineage: Bacteria
Description: partial 16S ribosomal RNA
Rfam family: Bacterial small subunit ribosomal RNA
Source: RNAcentral
CACGUAGGGCGCGAGCGUUGUCCGGAAUUAUUGGGCGUAAAGAGCUCGUAGGCGGUUUGUCGCGUCUGCUGUGAAAACUCGGGGCUUAACCCCGGGCCUGCAGUGGGUACGGGCAGACUAGAGUGCGGUAGGGGAGACUGGAAUUCCUGGUGUAGCGGUGAAAUGCGCAGAUAUCAGGAGGAACACCAACAGCGAAGGCAGAUCUCUGGGACGUGACUGACGCUGAGACGCGAAAGCGUGGGGAGCAAACAGG